AGAGUUUGAUCCUGGCUCAGGAUGAACGCUAGCGGGAGGCCUAACACAUGCAAGUCGAACGGGAUUGAGAGCUUGCUCUCAUGAGAGUGGCGCACGGGUGAGUAACGCGUAUGCAACCUACCUAUAACUGAGGGAUAGCCCAUAGAAAUGUGGAUUAAUACCUCAUAGUUCUUUUGUUCCGCAUGGGAUGAAAGAUAAAGCUCCGGCGGUUAUAGAUGGGCAUGCGUGACAUUAGCUAGUUGGUAAGGUAACGGCUUACCAAGGCUACGAUGUCUAGGGGUUCUGAGAGGAUGAUCCCCCACACUGGUACUGAGACACGGACCAGACUCCUACGGGAGGCAGCUGUGAGGGGUUUUGGUCAAUGGGCGCAAGCCUGAACCAGCCAUCCCGCGUGCAGGAUGAAGGCCCUAUGGGUCGUAAACU
Molecule: ribosomal RNA, 423 nt
Filed under: uncultured bacterium
Lineage: Bacteria
Description: bacterial SSU rRNA
Rfam family: Bacterial small subunit ribosomal RNA
Source: RNAcentral